AACGCGAAGAACCUUACCUAAGCUUGACAUCCCACUGACCUCUCCCUAAUCGGAGAUUUCCCUUCGGGGACAAUGGUGACAGGUGGUGCAUGGUUGUCGUCAGCUCGUGUCGUGAGAUGUUGGGUUAAGUCCCGCAACGAGCGCAACCCUUGUCUUUAGUUGCCAUCAUUAAGUUGGGCACUCUAGAGAGACUGCCGAGGAUAACUCGGAGGAAGGUGGGGAUGACGUCAAAUCAUCAUGCCCCUUAUGCUUAGGGCUACACACGUGCUACAAUGGGUGGUACAGAGGGCAGCCAAGCCGUGAGGUGGAGCAAAUCCCUUAAAGCCAUUCUCAGUUCGGAUUGUAGGCUGAAACUCGCCUACAUGAAGCUGGAGUUACUAGUAAUCGCAGAUCAGAAUGCUGCGGUGAAUGCGUUCCCGGGUCUUGUACACACCG
Molecule: ribosomal RNA, 435 nt
Filed under: uncultured bacterium
Lineage: Bacteria
Description: bacterial SSU rRNA
Rfam family: Bacterial small subunit ribosomal RNA
Source: RNAcentral